RNAcentral lists this small nuclear RNA (141 nucleotides) under Aotus nancymaae (Ma's night monkey). RNAcentral's name for it is "U4 spliceosomal RNA (ENSANAG00000007958.1)". It matches the Rfam family "U4 spliceosomal RNA". From Rfam's summary of the family: U4 small nuclear RNA (U4 snRNA) is a component of the major U2-dependent spliceosome. The structure of U4 snRNA from yeast and human has been reported. Lineage: Eukaryota; Metazoa; Chordata; Mammalia; Primates; Aotidae. The record is from Rfam by way of RNAcentral.
AUCUUUGUGCAGUGGCAGUAUCAUAGUCAAUGAGGUUUAUUUGAGGCGUGAUUAUUGCUAAUUGAAAACUUUUCCCAAUAUCCUGCCAUGAAGACUUGAAAUGUAGUUGGCACUGGCAAUUUUUGACAGUCUCUACUGAGA